CACUUCUCAUGAGCUCCUCUCUGUCAGUGCAGUGGCGGUGUAUGGGUUCGCACGAGAAGUACAUUUCAAGUUCACAUUUACACUUUGUGCAUCUACUAUACUGGAAUGCACCCAUGUCUGAUGUGAGACAUUC
This is a small nucleolar RNA of Myxocyprinus asiaticus (Chinese sucker), 133 nucleotides long. RefSeq annotates it as small nucleolar RNA SNORA75. The record is from RefSeq and is a predicted model, not a curated record. NCBI's taxonomy places the organism in Eukaryota, Metazoa, Chordata, Actinopteri, Cypriniformes, Catostomidae. The transcript has a single exon.